GAGGGUAUAGCUCAGUAGGUAGAGUGCGUGCCUAGCAUGCAUGAGGCCCUGGGUUCAAUCCCCAGUACCCCCA
RNAcentral lists this transfer RNA (73 nucleotides) under Camelus bactrianus (Bactrian camel). It matches the Rfam family "tRNA". Rfam says of the family: Transfer RNA (tRNA) molecules are approximately 80 nucleotides in length. Their secondary structure includes four short double-helical elements and three loops (D, anti-codon, and T loops). Lineage: Eukaryota; Metazoa; Chordata; Mammalia; Artiodactyla; Camelidae. RNAcentral also lists the same sequence under 2 other names. The record is from Rfam by way of RNAcentral.